Molecule: ribosomal RNA, 494 nt
Filed under: uncultured bacterium
Lineage: Bacteria
Description: bacterial SSU rRNA
Rfam family: Bacterial small subunit ribosomal RNA
Source: RNAcentral
AAAGGAAUAGACGGGGCCCCGCACAAGCGGCGGAGCAUGCGGAUUAAUUCGAUGCAACGCGAAGAACCUUACCUGGGUUUGACAUAUGCCGGAAACAUUCAGAGAUGGAUGCCCCUUUUUGGUCGGUAUACAGGUGGUGCAUGGCUGUCGUCAGCUCGUGUCGUGAGAUGUUGGGUUAAGUCCCGCAACGAGCGCAACCCUCGUCCAAUGUUGCCAGCACGUAAUGGUGGGGACUCAUUGGAGACCGCCGGGGUCAACUCGGAGGAAGGUGGGGAUGACGUCAAGUCAUCAUGCCCCUUAUGUCCAGGGCUUCACGCAUGCUACAAUGGCCGGUACAAAGGGCUGCGAACCUGCAAGGGUGAGCGAAUCCCAAAAAGCCGGUCUCAGUUCGGAUUGGGGUCUGCAACUCGACCCCAUGAAGUCGGAGUCGCUAGUAAUCGCAGAUCAGCAACGCUGCGGUGAAUACGUUCCCGGGGCUUGUACACACCGCCCGU